GAUGAACGCUGGCGGCGUGCCUAAUACAUGCAAGUCGAACGAGGUACUUUUGUAGCAAUACGAGAGUAUCCUAGUGGCGAACGGGUGAGUAACGCGUGGAUGACCUGCCCCAAAGUGUGGGAUAACAGUCCGAAAGGAUUGCUAAUACCUCAUGUGGUUAUCGGUUUUAGAAAGCGAUAACUAAAGCAGCAAUGCGCUUUGGGAGGGAUCUGCGUCCCAUCAGCUAGUUGGUGAGGUAACGGCUCACCAAGGCGACGACGGGUAGGGGACCUGAGAGGGUGGCCCCCCACAAUGGAACUGAAACACGGUCCAUACACCUACGGGUGGCAGCAGUAGGGAAUAUUGCUCAAUGGGCGAAAGCCUGAAGCAGCAACGCCGCGUGUGCGAUGAAGGCCUU
RNAcentral lists this ribosomal RNA (397 nucleotides) under uncultured bacterium. Its description in RNAcentral is "bacterial SSU rRNA". It matches the Rfam family "Bacterial small subunit ribosomal RNA", at positions 28 to 418 of the family's 1533-position model. The record is from RNAcentral.